RNAcentral lists this transfer RNA (69 nucleotides) under Raillietina sp. HL-2022. RNAcentral describes it as "tRNA-Met". The record is from RNAcentral. Lineage: Eukaryota; Metazoa; Platyhelminthes; Cestoda; Cyclophyllidea; Davaineidae.
AGAUUAAUAAGUUAAACUAUAAACUGUGGGGUUCAUGUCCCCAUAAUAUACUGUAAGGUAUUUGAUCGA